GACUAACACUGGCGGCGUGCCUAACACAUGCAAGUCGAACGUCGAACUCACCGAAGCUAAUCGCAAGAUUAACGGAGGAGAGGGAAAGUGGCAAAUGGGUGAGUAAUGUUUGGGUAUCUACCCUUCAGAGGAGAAUAACAUACCGAAAGGUAUGCUAAUACUCCAUUAGACCACGAAGAUGAUGUCUUUGCGGUAAAAGAUAAUUUUUCAUAAAUUGUUACUGAAGGAUGAGCCCAAAUCCUAUUAGCUUGUUGGUAAGGUAAUGGCUUACCAAGGCGAUGAUGGGUAGCUGGUCUGAGAAGACGAUCAGCCACACUGGGAUUGAGAUACAGCCCAGACUCCUACGGGAGGCAGCAGUGAGGAAUUUUGGACAAUGGAGGAAACUCUGAUCCAGCGACGCCGCGUGAGCGAUGAAGGCCUUCGGGUCGUAAAGCUCUGUCGAGUGGGAUGAAGUCCACUGUAGCUUUAGUGAAGGUGGAUUGACAUUACCACUAAAGGAAGUCCCGGCUAACUCCGUGCCAGCAGCUGCGGUAAGACGGAGGGGGCAAGUGUUGUCCGGAAUUAUUGGGUGUAAAGGGCAUGUAAAUGGUUGGGUAAGUCAGGUAUGAAAUCCCUCGGCUCAACCGAGGAAGUGUAUUUGAAACUAUCCGACUAGAGUUUGGGAGAGGAGAGCGGAACUCCCGGUGUAGCGGUGGAAUGCGUAGAUAUCGGGAGGAACACCAGAGGCGAAGGCGGCUCUCUAGUCCAAAACUGACAUCGAAAUGCGAAAGCUAGGGGAGCAAACAGGAUUAGAUACCCUGGUAGUCCUAGCUGUAAACGAUGGGUAUUAGACAUGGGCCGAAAUUCGGUUGGUGUCGAAGCUAACGCGUUAAAUACCUCACCUGGGGAGUACGGUCGCAAGACUGAAACUCAAAGGAAUUGACGG
RNAcentral lists this ribosomal RNA (925 nucleotides) under uncultured bacterium. RNAcentral's name for it is "bacterial SSU rRNA". It matches the Rfam family "Bacterial small subunit ribosomal RNA", at positions 28 to 916 of the family's 1533-position model. The record is from RNAcentral.